CUGAUAAUUAAAAUCAACACCUAAGAGAUUAUCCAUGACACCUGAUCUUAACCCUGACUUCAGCCAAACAACACGAACACUAGCAUUCUGGGCUCUCAAUAUGAUGCUCAACUUUCAGGCAGUGAACCAGUGAACCAGUGAACCAGUGAACCAGUCAUGCCUUGAUUGUCACACUGCAUAAGCAUGAACCUGAUGGCUUUAUCUCAGAAGUCUGCCAUUCUGAGCCUGGGGCUGCAUCCGGGUCAUACAACAGGGUGCGAUAGCCAGGAUCCUC
This 274-nucleotide long non-coding RNA is filed under the name Vitis vinifera (wine grape). RNAcentral's name for it is "long non-coding RNA (VVIN_LNC000284)". Lineage: Eukaryota; Viridiplantae; Streptophyta; Magnoliopsida; Vitales; Vitaceae. The record is from RNAcentral.